Molecule: long non-coding RNA, 398 nt
Filed under: Setaria italica (foxtail millet)
Lineage: Eukaryota; Viridiplantae; Streptophyta; Magnoliopsida; Poales; Poaceae
Description: long non-coding RNA (SITA_LNC003935)
Source: RNAcentral
CAGCCAUCAAAAUCAGUGUCGAGAGAGAGCACGGUGGCGCCAUUGGCGAUCGGCUGGAUGAGCUGCUGCAGCGAGAUGCGGUCUGCUGGCAGGAAAACGAUGGCGGGGAUUCCAGCGGCGGCGCAGUACGCCGAGAGCGCGGCGGAGGUGUCUCCCGUGGAUGCGCAGCCAACACCGGCGAUGGGGCGCGAGAGCGGGGCGCGGCGGAGGCGGUUCACCUGACUGACGAGCACCGUCAUGCCGAGGUCCUUGAAGGAGCCCGUGUGGGAGAUUCCGCAGUGCUUGACCCAGAGAUCGUUCAUCCCGCCGAGGUGCUCGCGGCCGAAGCGUUCCGCCCAGAAGAGGUUGGAAUUGCCCUCGAAGAGGGAGACGAUGUGGUCGGAGUCGAUCUCCGGCAG